GACUGCACCAUGGGAGAGCAAUGAACAAGAGCUGAAGAAGUUGUCAAGGAAGGCUUCAUGGAGUCAGUGGUUCUAUGGGCCAGGCCUGGGCCUUUUUAGAGUUGAAGUUGAAGGUGAGACAGAAAUCAGAGUCCAGUUGCAACCAGCCUCUUGUGUGAGGGCCAGCAAAGCUGCAAAUUCUAUCAGGGAAGAAAGAAGGUGGGAAAAAAAUUUGAUAAUUGCCAAAUCAAACCUAAUUAAUCAUUUGUUCUUGACUAGAAAUGUGUGUUUUACAAUGGGGCCUGGCCAGGAAAUAGCAAUGACACAUGAGAUCUGACCCUGGUCCUGUGGGAAUAUUAUGUCCAUCCUGCUUUCUGGGGAGGUCUAUGCAAAAAAAUUGGAGAAAAAAAAUUUGUUUUUCCCUUCUUGGGUUCUUGCAUGCAUGAGUGGAGAACAGUGGCAAACACUUAAAAAAUCAAUCUGAAUGAUAUGCACUAUGCAAAUUACUUUAUUAUAAUCUUUAAUAUUGACUAUCAAUGUUGGAUUAACACUAGGAAUACAGGGUUAGUUCAAUAUUGGGAAAACUAUAAGCCUAAUUGACCAUUGUAUUAUUUCUAAAAUGCAAAGUUUAAAUUCUUUUGAGAGUAAUUUUAGGUUAAGAAACAUGCUACCUCCAAGAAUCUAGAAAGUGAACUGUUUGGAGAAGGCACCAUGAAGAUGCCUGCACAGGCCACACGGUGCACCAGAAGAUCCAGAGUAUGGUGAUUUGAAAUGUGUGGGGUUAAAUGCAUUUGUUUUUGUAUGUAUACUCUUAUGCCAAAGGGGACUGCCCCCUAAUUGGCUUUUUGUCAAUGCUCUUAGCAAUCAUUAGUUUUGUUCUUUUUCCCUUUUAUCCCCAAAUUAUUAUAAUUUAAAAGCUGGUUAUGUUUACAAGAUCCAUUGGCGAGAUCAGUCUUCCACGGAUCUCAGGGGGGGAUGUAUAAGUUACUCUAAAAAAGAACUACAUUUCCAGGGAGCCCAUUGACUUACUGUCAUUACAUACUUCCUAUAGAAAAGGGAUAAAUUGAGUGGGAGGUCCUACUUUGUCUUUUUUUGGCUUGUAACAAGCAUGGUGGAGAUGAUAAACUAAGCACAGGGAUUUUUAAAUGGGCUAAUCAGCCAUGGGCACAUGGUCUUUAUUUUAUAUCCUCUUUAUUUCUUGAUUUCUAAUGAUCAUUAAUAAAUCUUUUUAAUAUAAUAUUUUUAUUAAGAUU
This 1232-nucleotide long non-coding RNA is filed under the name Monodelphis domestica (gray short-tailed opossum). Its description in RNAcentral is "lncRNA (ENSMODG00000039125.1)". The record is from RNAcentral. Lineage: Eukaryota; Metazoa; Chordata; Mammalia; Didelphimorphia; Didelphidae.